CUGUUCAGGUAUCUUUGAAAGAUAUCUUUUUGAAAGGACUGCAAGGAGGAGGUUCAGUGUUCUCUCCUGAGCAUGAAGCUGGCUUUAGGUGUUGCUUCCACAACUGCCUAUUGCCAUUGAUGAUUGUUCUUUUCUUCCUUUGGGGGAGUAAGGGGAGAGGGCACAGUCUGAGUGGU
RNAcentral lists this small nucleolar RNA (176 nucleotides) under Zalophus californianus (California sea lion). Its description in RNAcentral is "Small nucleolar RNA U3 (ENSZCAG00015023557.1)". The stretch from base 38 to 176 matches the Rfam family "Small nucleolar RNA U3", at positions 76 to 219 of the family's 219-position model. Rfam says of the family: Small nucleolar RNAs (snoRNAs) are involved in the processing and modification of rRNA in the nucleolus. Lineage: Eukaryota; Metazoa; Chordata; Mammalia; Carnivora; Otariidae. The record is from RNAcentral.